RNAcentral lists this long non-coding RNA (3034 nucleotides) under Homo sapiens (human). Its description in RNAcentral is "HSALNT0387041". The record is from RNAcentral. Lineage: Eukaryota; Metazoa; Chordata; Mammalia; Primates; Hominidae.
GGGAGGCCGAGGCAGGAGAAUGGCGUGAACCCGGGAGGCGGAGCUUGCAGUGAGCCGAGAGCCCGCCACUGCACUCCAGCCUGGGCGACAGAGCGAGACUCCGUCUCAAAAAAAAAAAAAAAAAAAAAAAAAAAAAAAAAGACACGUACACAGACAAAUGUUCUGACAGAAAUACACUGAGAUAUCUACAGUGCUUGUCUCUGGAUAGGAUAGGGUAUAAUUUAAUUGUUUAUAGUUAAGUUAAUGAACUUGGCCAGACAGACCUGGGAUCAAAUCCCGCCUCUAUCAUGAAUUGGCUGUGAGGUGUGACAUUGAAAAAGUGAUUUAGCCUUUGUUCCCCUCCAGGUCCUUAUCUGUAAGGUGGCAGUUACAAUAAUACCCACCUCCCAGGGUUAUAUGUCAAUGGGUUAGGCACAGACCUAGGAACUCAGCAAAUGGACUACUAUGAAGUAUUAGCUUUUUACUGUUUCUGGUUUUCUGAUUUUUGUCUCCUGUUGUGAACAUACGUUGCUUUUGUAAUAUGAAAAAUAAAAAAUAAAAGUUAAAUUUGUUUUGUUUGUAAGAAUCAGUUGAGGACAGAUGGGACUAUUUGCAUGGAUUGGUGUCAUGUUUGAAGUCAGUUACCAGAGGGUUUCUUUCAACAGAGUAUACCAAAAAAAAAAAAAAAAAAAAAAAAAAAAGUAAAUUGCACAGACCCCAGCUUAGGACCUGGACUUAAUCUUCAUGAUGUUUGUAAAGUAAUACUUCUUGGAGAAACCUCCCAAAUUUCUAUCGACACUAGACAUCUCAGGAUUUGAAAUGUUAAGCUAACAGAAAUUGUUCAUCAGGUGUAUCUCCAGCCCUCCGUAAACACUGCCGGAUGGAUGAACCUACGUAAUGAUCUCCUGGUGCCAUUUUCCUGACUGUAGAUACUUGGGUAAGGAGGAGACUUUGACUCUAGAUGACAUGAUGUACCCUGUGUUCUGCAAGCUGGAGAACAUCAUGUAGAAUCUGAAAAUUAGGAGAGAGAGGCAAUCAGAAGAAGACAGAGUGGUGUUGCAGGGACCUGCAGUCAGCCUAGUCCCCCAGUUUGCGUUUGAAUUUGGUCCCAGAUUUUUUUUGUUUUUGUUUUUUAGUAGUUAAAGCUGAGAGCAAACCACAUUGCUUACUAUUGUCAGGGAAUGAAAACUAUGCAACAGAAGCCGAUGUGCAGAGGUGACCGUGUUCGCUGGAAUUGAACUUAAGCAGGUUCCUACCGCACAGAUCCACACAGGAGGGAUUGCGUAAUGCACCCAGCAGAGUUGUGCUCAACUGUGAUUUUAUAAAAGACACAGAAACACAUAUUAAAUAGACAAUUCUUCUAUCAGCCCUCUAAACUGGCAUAACCUUGAAUCAUAAUUCAAUGAAUGCAUUUCUGUGAGAAGUGAAGGUAAUAAGCUCCAAGUGCUUUCGUUUCCUUUCUUUCUUUCUUAAUGCAGGGAAAAUUGAGAUGGGAUUCUCAGUUAAAACCCAAACGACGGGCCUGGGGGUUGUCACAAUGUGAUCCCUGAGGAUGUUAGCCCCAAUGUCUUUCUGUAGCCAGAACCAAUAGAAAAAUGAGAGGAGGAGAGUAGAAGCAGAAUAGCAAACAAUUUUUCCUUUCAUGGUCUACCUGUGUGACUGUGUAUAUGUCCAGAAGGGGAUGUGGUUGGGGAAGGGCAUAGUACACAUAUUUGAGCAGAGUACAUGUGUUUCAUUUCUUGCUCAUACGACAUGUCCAGUGUGGGCUGGCAUGUUCUUCUGCACAGUCCCUGAGGGACCCGGACUUAUAGAGUCUGUGAUCUCACAGCUGCUACAUCUGGCACAGAUGGCCUUCUUGAUCUCCAGUUAGGGCGAGUCACAACAGCAAUUAAAUGGUUUGGUCUGAAGUGUCACGAGUCGUUUCCUCUUGGCUGCCUACUGGCUAGGCCAGUCACGUGGCCCUGAAGAGGGUGGGAAUGUCUCAUCCCCCUGUGGGCUUAGAAGAAAACCAGAGGUCUGUGCACACUAUGGAUUUUUACUACAAUGAUGCCCUUUCACAUACAGCGAGAAGGAUUAAGAGGUACUGUAUUGUUGGUUGAUAAAGUCAAACUUGUGAACAGAGCAAAAGGGCAUUGCUUGGUCAUUGCAGCUUCCACCCAUGCACCUUACACAGAAGUUUGGGCCCUAACAUGGAAACUUUUCAACACUGGCCAAAUUCUGUUUGAAGCACUGUAUUGAGCAUACCAUAUGCUGAAAGACUUGGAAUGCAAAAACCUAAGGCCAAGGGCACUUCUCAAUAUUAAACCCUCAGUUGUAAUGGAGGCAUCAAGACUAUAAGACCCAAGACCUUAACUUUUGUGCUCCUUGUCUUGUGGAGGGAACAUCCAUCCUCAAAACAGAAACCUGUGAGAUCCCUUGAAUAUACUGACAAUACACUGAUGAGAAUUGAAUGCCCCAUAAAUUGCAUCUCCCGCAGGGCCUGAUAGGUGCCCUGUCUUCCUGCUUAUGACUCUGAAACCCUGUUUAUUUGUAUCAAGGACGGUUGGUACUUUAAUCAUCAAUAAACUAACAUCUCAACAGCCUGCCAUAAAUUUCUUGUCAAAAAAAGAGGUUAUGAUUAGAAUACUGUGAUUAAAGAGAAUUUGUAGAUAGACUUACAUCCCUCAGUUUCAAAGCUUCUAGUAGUAGGGCUUAGAGGUUCCUAGAGUAGGAAAAGCCUAGCCAAGCAGAAACCCAUGUUUUUGACUUUCAGGAUAUUUGUGAAUUAAUUUACUUGCAUAUAUUGGCCAAGAUCUAGCAUAAUCUCUUAAUAUUCAAUGAAUAAAAAAUUGAGUUUUGAGAGCAAAUAUUUUGGUAGGAAAUAGAGAACUGACACUAAUAUUCUCUCUGACUAUAAUUGUAAAACAGUAGAUGUCUUUCACCAAGCGCUAACAUUAUAUUAAUUAUUAAUAAAAUCCAACUCCUUAAUAAUACAAUCAUAGUUACCAUUUAUUGAGAGCACUCUUCUGAACAUUUUGCAUUCUUUAUUUAAUCUUCCCUACAACCUUAUUAAGUA